This 490-nucleotide ribosomal RNA is filed under the name uncultured bacterium. Its description in RNAcentral is "partial 16S ribosomal RNA". It matches the Rfam family "Bacterial small subunit ribosomal RNA", at positions 30 to 507 of the family's 1533-position model. The record is from RNAcentral.
AUUGAACGCUGGCGGCAGGCCUAACACAUGCAAGUCGAACGGUAACAGGAAGACGCUUGCUUCUUUGCUGACGAGUGGCGGACGGGUGAGUAAUGUCUGGGAAACUGCCUGAUGGAGGGGGAUAACUACUGGAAACGGUAGCUAAUACCGCAUAACGUCGCAAGACCAAAAAGGGGGACCUUCGGGCCUCUUGCCAACGGAUGUGCCCAGAUGGGAUUAGCUAGUAGGUGGGGUAACGGCUCACCUAGGCGACGAUCCCUAGCUGGUCUGAGAGGAUGACCAGCCACACUGGAACUGAGACACGGUCCAGACUCCUACGGGAGGCAGCAGUGGGGAAUAUUGCACAAUGGGCGCAAGCCUGAUGCAGCCAUGCCGCGUGUAUGAAGAAGGCCUUCGGGUUGUAAAGUACUUUCAGCGGGGAGGAAGGGAGUAAAGUUAAUACCUUUGCUCAUUGACGUUACCCGCAGAAGAAGCACCGGCUAACUCCGUG